Molecule: ribosomal RNA, 478 nt
Filed under: uncultured bacterium
Lineage: Bacteria
Description: partial 16S ribosomal RNA
Rfam family: Bacterial small subunit ribosomal RNA
Source: RNAcentral
GACGAACGCUGGCGGCGUGCUUAACACAUGCAAGUCGAACGGGAUUUCGUAGACAGGCGCCUCGGCUAAAGAUUACUAAUGAGAGUGGCGAACGGGUGAGUAACGCGUGAGCAACCUGCCUAUGACAGAGGGAUAGCCUCGGGAAACCGGGAUUAAUACCGCAUAAAAUCGUAGAAACACAUGUUUCAACGGUCAAAGAUUUAUCGGUCAUAGAGGGGCUCGCGUCUGAUUAGCUAGUUGGGGAGAUAACAGCCCACCAAGGCGACGACCAGUAGCCGGUCUGUGAGGAUGGACCGCCACACUGGAACUGAGACACGGUCCGAACUCCUACGGGAGGCAGCAGUGGGGAAUAUUGCACAAUGGGGGAAACCCUGAUGCAGCGACGCCGCGUGAACGAAGAAGGUAUUCGUAUCGUAAAGUUCUGUCCUAUGGGAAGAUAAUGACAGUACCAUAGAAGAAAGCUCCGGCUAACUACGUG